AUUAAAAGAGGCUUCUUCUCCAGUGUCAGCUCCUCAUAUAUAUCAUAGGUCUCAGUAAGAGAGAAGGUAUUCAGUCCUUCCUAUUCAUUACACCAGAAAAUCUACUUUCUAGAAUAUUCAUUACCAAGGAGUAGAACUAAUGUCCCGUGGAAUAUGAUCUGCAAAACAGUCAAGUGCACAGGGCAGCAGAUUUCUCCGUGAAAAAUCUACACACGGUGCUCCAGCUCAUCAAAGCAAGAACCUGAAAGGUGCUAGUGCCGUGUGAACGGCAGCACUGAUUUGGUGGGAACUCCAGUAUCCCUUUAGUUCUUUGAUCUAGUUUCCUUUCACCAGUUGUGACAAACACCAUAAGCAACAGAAACUUAGGUGAGGAAAAGAUUUACUUCAGCUUAUGUAGGGAGCUGCAACGUGCUGCGCCUCAAAGAUGGCGCUGGUUUCUGCCUUCCACCCUCCCAACGGCUUAUGAUAAAUAUUCAUUGGACAUGAAUCUGUGACUGGGCUUCUUAACAAGUUCCUACAGCAGAUGGUCCAUCCCCCCCUCUCCCUCACCCACACACACUCAUAAAUAUACACAAUCUACUCCCUCUCUCUCCCUCUUUCUUCCUCUCUCUCCCCCUCUCCCUCUGUCUCUGUCUCUCUCUCCUUCUCUCUCUGUCUCUGUCUCUGUCUCUGUCUCUCUCUCUCUCUCUCUCUCUCUCUCUCUCUCUCUCACACACACACACACACACACAUGCACACACCACAUACACACAAAUCCCAGACAUGCACAUGCAGAGAGCAUGCAAAUGUUUUCCUAGUCUUCAAAAGAAAAAGCUAUUAUCUGCUUUUUCGACUGUUUCUUCGCAUGCCCUCCGUCACCUUAUGAAGAAUGAAUCUUAUUUAUUAGUCAAAAUGCUGACUAGCCCUACUAGGUGAUAGUUUUCUGUGAGUCUAUAAGGCCCCUCGAUAUGUAUCGACUAAAUGGCAGAGCUCAAAGGAUUGCGCAUUAUCGUCUGAUACAUCAAUCAGCUAAAUACAUUGGUGAAGGAAACUGGAGAUUCCGUAUCAAGAGCUACGAACAUGUGUUAUGAAAUACCACAGUAAGUACAAUUCUUAGUGAGCAAACCAAAUUUUAACCCUGUGGCUAACACAAUAAGGGUCUCCUAUUAAUAUUCUAGUAACAUACAGCAAUUUAGGGCAUAGUCAAAGAGAAAUCUAAAGUAACAGGAAGAGUAGGCAUCUCUCAGGGUUUUAUCCUAAGAACCACACUUGGAAGUCUUAGUGCAAUCUAUGGUUCACUUUGCUUUUUUGGAUCAUACGGAAUGCACGGCCACAGUCAACCACCCAAUAAGAAUUUUGGAAGAGACAGAGAAAGGAGGCAGUUCUGUGAGAGGCAGGCACACACAUAAAGGAAUUUAUUCCACCCACACUCUUUCUAAACUGUGAAAACCUUGAAAAUUCAGUGUAUACUUAGUUUGAUUGGGAAAUGUAGGGAGAAUAGUGAUGGCACACAAUAAUUUAUUUAGGUGCAUCAAUAAUGGAGGAACAGGACGGACGCCUUCCCGCAAUGUCUAGGAUGUAACAGGAUAAUUCAGAGCACAGUGCCUGUUUAUCGGGAGACAGCACACAGUGACUGUAUUUAAACCGGCAUUGCAGCGCUUCUCUCUUUAGCAUUUAAAUUGAUUCACCAGUUUACAUCUAUUCCCCACCUUCCUGUCCAACUCAGACGGUGAUUAGAAUGAGCCUCUAUUUUCUCUUUCGGAUUCCUUCAUUGACAAACAGUAUUAGAGUUUCAUCUUUAAUUUCGCUGCAAAACAUCUAAAAUAGAAGGGAAUGAGGAACUUGGCUAUAGGAACUCUCAAAUUUAAUCUCCUUUGCAGUCUGAUUCCUGCUGCGUGAAUGGCACAGUCUGAUCUUAUUGGCACUUUCAACUGCGGUGCCAGGUUCGUUUCAAAAUUUAAUACAAUGUAUUUGUCAUUCCCACCCUUCUCCUGGUUAGAACGCUGCUACCAAAUGACUACCGGUUGGGGGUCUGAGAAAGAUAUCUUGCUGAAAAUGAGAGCUGUCCUCUGAAAUGGAAUGACUCAUCUCACAUAUUAUGUGUCUUUUGUUUUUUGCAGGGGACACUAUUGCUUUCCACCAUUUAGUCUUUUAGUAAUCCAUCUAGGUAACAAUAAAAGAAGUGGAAUAUUUACUCACUGCCAUCUUCAGAGAGAGAGAGUAACAUAUUUCAUGGAUUUCACAAAUAACUUGCCCAGCAGGAAACAAGAGACAACAGAUUACAAUCAGUCAAUACUACUGUUGCUUCUCCGUGUAAGCCAAUGUCUUGCACAGUUCUGACCCACUGCUGUUACAGUCUGACAUGACCAGGCAGCCCACCAGCCCCAGCUGGCUCAGAACCGUGUCUCUCAAUUGGUAGUCCCUGGAUCAACUCUGUCUUCAUUAUCGAAGAAUUUAUUAGGAACUGAAAUUCCUUGGUUCCGUCCCCUGAAUCACAUAAAUUCUGUGGUAGCAGCUAAGGUAUGUGUUUACAUUAUUUACACUAACUUGUUAACUAUUGAUCUAGAGGAAAAGGGAAGAGUAAAAUGAUUCCAGUAUUCCAGACCCAAUUUUAGUAUACAGUGGAUGACUGCUGAAUGUAGCCAUUUACUUUAGCCUUGCCCCAUAUGUUUCAAGUUGGCAGGGUGAAGGGUAGAGUUAAAACCAUACCCACCAUGUUUAGUGAGUUCAAUCAUCAUCCCAUUAUAAGAUCUGUGACUAUAGACUCUUUAUCCAAAAAGUCCAGAUUUAUUAAAAAGAAAGAAAGAAAGAAAGAAAGAAAGAAAGAAAGAAAGAAAGAAAGAAAGAAGGGAAGAAAGAAAGAAAGAGAGAAAGGAAGAAAGAAAGAAGAAACACAUUAAUUUUUUUGUAAAAUGAGAGUUUCUGGACUUUCUCCCUAUUUGAUUCGGGUUGUUUUCUGGAGAUUAUGAAGAGACAAUCAUUUUACCUCUACCCAUAAACCCUUAACAAAUUGCCAAGAUUCAUUCAAGAACCACAUGACCCUGCAGACUUCUCACUACCUCCGAGCAACAGUGUAGGUCUCUCCCCUAAAUAUCUCAAGAUUACUGCCUGUAUGCCCUAUUACUGUUCACCAUUAUCAUGCCCUUAUGCUCCUAUUUGCCAUAUAAAGUUUAUCUAUAUACACAUAUACAGACAGAUUUACAUACACAAAGAUACCAUGUGUUUUCAGUUAGACUUGAACCUCUUUGAAGAUAGUGGCUUCUCUAUUCAUCUUUGAGUCUACUAUAGCUCUCUAGAUAUACUCUGAGUAGAAAUGUCUUUCCAAGGUAGUCAUGCUCUCCUGGAUGCUUCUGAUCAUUUGCCCUUGUCAGUCUCUCUUACUCUACUCACCACUGAUAGAGGAGUCAAUCACAAUCCUUUGCAAGACAAACUAUCACUAAGGCCAUAUGCUCCCCUGUUAGGCAAUAUUAAACCUGAUUAACUGUUCCUUGAAAUGAACAUUUAGGGGAACAUUUAAGGGAAAAUAUGCACUGGAGAAACUUUGGGCUCUCCUGGAAAGCCUCUAGAGAAGUAAGUAUAUAUGAACAGUAGAUUUUCCUACUUCAACCUCAUCUAAACUUCUGUUUUCUUCAUCUAAUCAUCUGUUUUUAUAAUUUUUUGUAAGCUUUAUUAAGGAAAAACAAAACAAAACUGGAUCUGUUUCUGUCAAUAUUAUGUAGGACCAGCCAAAACACUCUUGAGUCUUCUACAAAAUGAAAAUAUGAAUAAUCUGCCAUCCAAAGUUACAUGACAAUUGGUGAAAAGCAAGACUCAAGACAGGACAUGAAUUACCCAGAUGUCCCAGCUGCAAAACAAAUGGAAUGUGAUACAACUUUGUUGUUGUUUUCAAAGGGAGAACCAAAGCAGUACCUAAAAGUUCUUAGGUUAUUAAUGAUUGACAAAUUAAAUUUUUGGAAGUAUUAAAUGGGCUGUGAUUUCUUCUUUGGCCAGUGCCUCUUUAAAUGCCGUGCUCACCACAGCAGUGUGAUUGAUCUGAAUCUUCUGUCCUCUUCAGGAAUAGGUCCACUAAAUCUUUGCAAGCACAGUUGUCUUUGAGAUUCAAUACGGAGAUACAGUAUAUAAAGCUCCAAAAAUGUUUUCUGGGCAGUGAGUAAGAGUGGGGAACAGAAGCUGGAACAGGAAGAGGGUCAACAAACAUGUGAAGAGAUAGAUGGUUUCCACAAGGUCUCAUCUUAGUGGAAGUUAGAUGAUGUGACAUUUCAACUGCAAGCUGAUCCCAACCAUUUCCUGAAGGUUCCUUUCCAGGAAUAUGAAUGUUCUAGAAAGGCUCAUGUGGCCACAGAAAUUCCUCAAGUAACAAGGCACAUGUGUGUCACUGUGUGUUUCACAUUUACAUGUUCAAGAACAUGGUUAGUAAAGGUGAAGGUUCUACCUGAGGUAGAGUCUACAGCUUAUGCUAGGAUUCAUCAAGUCUCAUUAGUUCAAAAUCUCAUUUGUCUGGACUCUUAUUGUCUACCUAAAAUACACAGCCAUUCUACCCUCUCAUUGACCGCUUUAAGUGAUGCAAUAUAAUUUAGGAAUUGCAUCCUGAUAUAAAGGUGGAUGCUUUGCUUUUCUAUUUAAAAGAGAAACAGGAGCCUUUCUUUAAAAAAAUCCAAUUAUCAUUAUCCUCCUAAAAUACACAUCUUAAUAAACUUCAGACUUAUAUCAAAGCAAGUUAACAUGACUCAAAUGUUUUAGAAAAUUCAUACUUGAAAUUUGUUUCAGAUCUUCCAGAUCUCAGCAGGGGUUCUAGUUUGAAUACAUCGCUUUAAUAUGUGUCUUCACCACAGGAAUCAACUCAUGGUAAAGACAUGUCUGAUGAAUUAGUCCCCUCUCUUACCUCCUAAUGUCCAGUGAAAUAAAUCUUGUGCUGAAAUGAAGUGUAGACAGUCUUCUAAGAUACAGAAAAAGGUAUACAAAGGGAAUGCUAAGGCUUCACCUGAGGAACAGAAGAUGUGGCAUGAUCGAAGGGGCUUGAUGAAAUGAAAUGAAAUGAAAGACUUGGCUAACGAGAGGUCCUAUUAAGAAUCCCCAUGAAGCACAAAUGGUAAAAGUGUCUCUGGGAUUUAACAGCAGCCUCACAGGCAAGCCAUAAAACAUUCCUUGAAAUAGAAAAAUAAAACAAACAAACAAAGCUUCUAAGUCUAAGCAUAGAUUUAAAAAUAUUAAACCAUCUUAAUCCAACUCAAAGAAAGAAUAUCCUGGAAGGUUUCACUAAACAAAGCCACCCUGGAAGAGGUCCCACCAUUCUUGGUGUCACUACUUAGAGGGCAUCCACUUGUGUGGGGAUUAAAGAGUAGACAAGACCACCUACAAGGAUGCGCUCCAGUGGCCUUACAGAUCGGAUGGCACAGUGGUUAAAGAAUGUAUGUAGUUAGGCAGGGGGCUCCAAACCACUUCUAACUCUAGCUCAGGGAAUCCACUGCCAUCUUCUGGCCUGUGGGAGUACUGUACUUAUGUGAACAACCUCCCUGCCACAACCAUACAAUAAAAAAUGUUGAGAGGCAGGCUGACCCAGGGCUUUCUCAGAGGCUUCAAGGAAAGGACAAAAGAACCCAAUUUGUGUGUCCUUGACAAGGGCCCAA
This is a non-coding RNA of Rattus norvegicus (Norway rat), 5606 nucleotides long. NCBI's taxonomy places the organism in Eukaryota, Metazoa, Chordata, Mammalia, Rodentia, Muridae. The record is from RefSeq and is a predicted model, not a curated record.